Molecule: ribosomal RNA, 542 nt
Filed under: Nyctibius grandis
Lineage: Eukaryota; Metazoa; Chordata; Aves; Nyctibiiformes; Nyctibiidae
Description: 12S ribosomal RNA
Rfam family: Bacterial small subunit ribosomal RNA
Source: RNAcentral
AUAGAUACCCCACUAUGCUUAGCCCUAAAUCUUGACACUUACCUCACCGAAGUGUCCGCCUGAGAACUACGAGCACAAACGCUUAAAACUCUAAGGACUUGGCGGUGCUCCAAACCCACCUAGAGGAGCCUGUUCUAUAAUCGAUGAUCCACGAUACACCCGGCCUCCCCUUGCCAUGGACAGCCUACAUACCGCCGUCGCCAGCCCACCUCUACUGAAAGAACAGUAGUGAGCAUAGUAGCCCUAAUCCCGCUAACAAGACAGGUCAAGGUAUAGCCCAUGGGGAGGAAAGAAAUGGGCUACAUUUUCUAGAAUAGAAAACCAACGAAAAGGGUCUAUGAAACUACCCCUAGAAGGCGGAUUUAGCAGUAAAGCAGGGCAAUAAUACCUUCUUUAAGUUGGCUCUAGAGCACGUACAUACCGCCCGUCACCCUCCUCAUAAACAACUACCCCAAAUAACUAAUACACCCCACCAGUCAAAGACGAGGUAAGUCGUAACAAGGUAAGUGUACCGGAAGGUGCACUUAGCACAACAAGACGUA